GACGAACGCUGGCGGCGUGCUUAACACAUGCAAGUCGAACGGAAAGGCCCUGCUUGCAGGGUACUCGAAUGGCGAACGGGUGAGUAACACGUGGGUGAUCUGCCCUGCACUUCGGGAUAAGCCUGGGAAACUGGGUCUAAUACCGGAUAGGAGCCAUUUUUAGUGUGAUGGUUGGAAAGUUUGUUCGGUGUAGGAUGAGCUCGCGGCCUAUCAGCUUGUUGGUGGGGUAAUGGCCUACCAAGGCGGCGACGGGUAGCCGGCCUGAGAGGGUGGACGGGCACAUUGGGACUGCGAGACGGCGCAGACUCCUACGGGAGGCAGCAGUGGGGAGUAUUGCACAAUGGGCGCAAGUCUGAUGCAGCGACGCCGCGUGGGGGAUGACGGCCUUCGGGUUGUAAACGCCUUUCGCUAGGGACGAAGCUUUUUGUGACGGUACCUAGAUAAGAAGCAACGGCUAACUACGUG
RNAcentral lists this ribosomal RNA (465 nucleotides) under uncultured bacterium. RNAcentral's name for it is "partial 16S ribosomal RNA". It matches the Rfam family "Bacterial small subunit ribosomal RNA", at positions 28 to 507 of the family's 1533-position model. The record is from RNAcentral.